AGUGAACGCUGGCGGUAGGCCUAACACAUGCAAGUCGAACGGCAGCACAGUAAGAGCUUGCUCUUACGGGUGGCGAGUGGCGGACGGGUGAGGAAUACAUCGGAAUCUACUUUUUCGUGGGGGAUAACGUAGGGAAACUUACGCUAAUACCUCAUACGACCUACGGGUGAAAGCAGGAGAUCUUCGGACCUUGCGCGAUUGAAUGAGCCGAUGUCGGAUUAGCUAGUUGGCGGGGUAAAGGCCCACCAAGGCGACGAUACGUAGCUGGUCUGAGAGGAUGAUCAGCCACACUGGAACUGAGACACGGUCCAGACUCCUACGGGAGGCAGCAGUGGGGAAUAUUGGACAAUGGGCGCAAGCCUGAUCCAGCCAUACCGCGUGGGUGAAGAAGGCCUUCGGGUUGUAAAGCCCUUUUGUUGGGAAAGAAAAGCAGCAGGUUAAUACCCCGAUGUUCUGACGGUACCCAAAGAAUAAGCACCGGCUAACUUCGUG
Molecule: ribosomal RNA, 492 nt
Filed under: uncultured bacterium
Lineage: Bacteria
Description: partial 16S ribosomal RNA
Rfam family: Bacterial small subunit ribosomal RNA
Source: RNAcentral